This 273-nucleotide ribosomal RNA is filed under the name uncultured bacterium. RNAcentral describes it as "partial 16S ribosomal RNA". It matches the Rfam family "Bacterial small subunit ribosomal RNA", at positions 524 to 796 of the family's 1533-position model. The record is from RNAcentral.
UAAGAAGGGUGCAAGCGUUAAUCGGCAUUACUGGGCGUAACGCGCGCGUAGGUGGUUCGUUAAGUUGGAUGUGCAAGCCCCGGGCUCAACCUGGGAACUGCAUCCAAAACUGGCGAGCUAGAGUAUGGCAGAGGGUGGUGGAAUUUCCUGUGUAGCGGUGAAAUGCGUAGAUAUAGGAAGGAACACCAGUGGCGAAGGCGACCACCUGGGCUAAUAAGGACACUGAGGUGAGAACGCGUGGGGAGCACACAGGAUUCGAUAACCCCGUAGUCC